UACGGAGGGGGCUAGCGUUGUUCGGAAUUACUGGGCGUAAAGCGCGCGUAGGCGGACCUGCAAGUCAGGGGUGAAAUCCUGGAGCUCAACUCCAGAACUGCCUUUGAUACUGGCGAUCUUGAGUCCGGGAGAGGUGAGUGGAACUGCGAGUGUAGAGGUGAAAUUCGUAGAUAUUCGGAAGAACACCAGUGGCGAAGGCGACUGACUGGACAAGUAUUGACGCUGAGGUGCGAAAGCGUGGGGAGCAAACAGG
This 253-nucleotide ribosomal RNA is filed under the name uncultured bacterium. RNAcentral's name for it is "partial 16S ribosomal RNA". It matches the Rfam family "Bacterial small subunit ribosomal RNA", at positions 524 to 776 of the family's 1533-position model. The record is from RNAcentral.